Molecule: long non-coding RNA, 1201 nt
Filed under: Homo sapiens (human)
Lineage: Eukaryota; Metazoa; Chordata; Mammalia; Primates; Hominidae
Description: ARHGAP11B divergent transcript, transcript variant 6 (ARHGAP11B-DT)
Source: RNAcentral
CUCUUACGAAGAAACCGUUCUACGGAAGCCCAGUUGAGACAACUUGAGACAGGAUUCAGAAACGCUGAUUUUAGUAACCUUAACCCUCGGCCUUUGGUGGGAACUUCGGCUCUGUGGGAAUUAGUCUUUGGGGGACUGAUGGUGAUGCUGAAAUCUUAUUGCGUAGGAAAUUAAGUACAACAAAGAAGACCCGUCGUGAGAGGAGAGUGCGGAAGAAAUGCGAAGUCUACGGGAGGUGGCAGCUGCAGAAGCUUGGUGUUGGAUUUGGAGUUAGGAGACCGGGAGGAGCCCAGCUUCCGGUCCAGACGGUUAUCUUGUUGACUUGCACGACUGCAAACGCCCUGAGCUGCUUUUGCAGUCUGAAACAUCAGCGAUCCCAUCAAAAUAUUCUGUUUCUUGGGAUAUAAGAAACAUCCCAAGGCGGGCUGUAGAGCGAGAGAUUUGGACUCGAUUUAAAUACAGACAAAAUAGUAUGCAUUUACUAACACCACAUCUCACCCCCACGAAACUUGCCAAGCCCAGCACAACAAUGGCACACAGCAGUUGCUGCCCAAGCCUGGGUGCUCCUGGUGGUCCUGCACGAUCGGCUGUGCAGUAGGCUUGUCAAGGAGAGGAUCCUCCCUGGCCUCUCCUUGGGCAGAGGAGGUGGUCCAUAAAGCUGCUCUGGAGCCAAAAUAUUGCAGUCACAUCUCGGCAGCGACCUGCCCUCAGGUGGCAUUUUCAAGUCAUGGAGAAGGUGGAGAGAGAAGCAAUCAGCAGCCACCCACUGCAGCUGGAGACCCCAGAACUUGGUGUCUGCCUCCCAUGGCACUGGGAAGGCUGGAGGCAGAUGUUCAGCACACUCAUCUCUUUCUAAUUGGACUUGUUGAAAUGACUCCUUCAACUGCAAGAAUGGGCACAGAACUUAGGAAGGGCUGUCACUGGUCCUCACCUGCUCCUGGCCACCUGGGGUCAUCUUCCUUCCACAUAACUCCCUCAGAAAACCUCACCUGUGUCAGCUGCACUUUCAGUAGUGCCUCCUCCCGCAUGGACUGCUCUAACUUCCACUCCGUACGUGCUUUGCUGCGGCUGGACAACUGGAUGGUGAAGAGUGAGAAGUUUCAAUCUGGAGAGCCUGGGCAUUUCCACACAGUGCCCCUUAAAAGGACUAGGGCUAGGCCCAAUAUACAACUCAGUCAGUAAAGAUCAAGGCAUUUCCAAG